AACGAACGCUGGCGGCAUGCCUAACACAUGCCAGUCGAACGAGACCUUCGGGUCUAUUGGCGCACGGGUGCGUAACGCGUGGGAACCUGCCCUUAGGGUCGGAAUAACUCCCCGAAAGGGGUGCUAAUACCGGAUAAUGUCUUCGGACCAAAGAUUUAUCGCCUUUGGAUGGGCCCGCGUUGGAUUAGCUAGUUGGUAGGGUAAAAGCCUACCAAGGCGACGAUCCAUAGCUGGUCUGAGAGGAUGAUCAGCCACACUGGGACUGAGACACGGCCCAGAAUCCUACGGGAGGCAGCAGAGGGGAAUAGUGGACAAUGGGGGAAAGCCUGAUCCAGCAAUGCCGCGUGAGUGAUGAAGGCAUUAGGGUUGUAAAGCUCUUUUAACCGGGAUGAUAAUGACAGUACCGGGAGAAUAAGCCCCGGCUAACUACGUG
This 433-nucleotide ribosomal RNA is filed under the name uncultured bacterium. RNAcentral's name for it is "partial 16S ribosomal RNA". It matches the Rfam family "Bacterial small subunit ribosomal RNA", at positions 29 to 507 of the family's 1533-position model. The record is from RNAcentral.